RNAcentral lists this unclassified non-coding RNA (497 nucleotides) under Hevea brasiliensis (rubber tree). Lineage: Eukaryota; Viridiplantae; Streptophyta; Magnoliopsida; Malpighiales; Euphorbiaceae. The record is from RNAcentral.
GAUAAUUUGAUAUAAUUGCUAUGCUUAGUCCCAAAAGAACCCGAUUCCGUAAACAACAUAGAGGAAGAAUGAAAGGAAUAGCUUUUCGAGGUAAUCGUAUUUGUUUCGGCAGAUAUGCUCUUCAGGCACUUGAACCCGCUUGGAUUACAUCUAGACAAAUAGAAGCGGGGCGACGAGCAAUGACACGAAAUGCACGCCGCGGUGGAAAAAUAUGGGUACGCAUAUUUCCCGACAAACCGGUUACUUUAAGACCUACGGAAACACGUAUGGGUUCGGGGAAAGGAUCUCCCGAAUAUUGGGUAGCUGUCGUUAAACCAGGUAGAAUACUUUAUGAAAUGGGCGGAGUAGCAGAAAAUAUAGCGAGAAAAGCUAUUUCAAUAGCAGCAUCAAAAAUGCCUAUACGAACUCAAUUCAUUAUUUCGGGAUAGGAAUAUAGAACCAAAGGAAAAAGACCUUUUGGAUGCAAAAAAAAAUCACAAGUUCCUUUUUUUUUUUUU